RNAcentral lists this unclassified non-coding RNA (3678 nucleotides) under Helicoverpa zea (corn earworm). Its description in RNAcentral is "protein ultraspiracle homolog, transcript variant X5". Lineage: Eukaryota; Metazoa; Arthropoda; Insecta; Lepidoptera; Noctuidae. The record is from RNAcentral.
UUUUAUGUCACUAAGAAUUAAUUGAAAUUGGGUUAUUGGUGAAUUCUUUAUAAAUAUUAGCUACUGUUAAUGCUGUAAUUGAUCAAAUUAUCGUUUUAUUACGAGUGUGUUUCAUAACAUCUUCAAAGACAUUUGUGUACAGCGAAGGGGUGUAUUGUUUCAUCUUCAUAUAGGUAUAUUUAGUUCAACGACCUUGUUACUGACAGGUUCAUCGUUAGCCACUGAACUAUUCUAUGAAAGUGGUAUAUCGUAGACGAUAGAUAAAUUAAAUCCAAUGAUGGAGCCCUCGAGAGAUUCAGGGCUAAACUUGGAGGGAGGUUUUAUGUCGCCGAUGUCACCACCGGAGAUGAAGCCAGACACGGCGAUGCUAGACGGCCUGCGAGACGAUUCCACCCCACCCCCAGCUUUCAAGAACUACCCCCCGAACCAUCCCCUAAGUGGUUCUAAGCACCUCUGUUCUAUAUGUGGAGACAGAGCGUCGGGAAAACACUAUGGAGUAUACAGUUGUGAAGGUUGCAAAGGUUUUUUCAAACGGACGGUAAGAAAAGACUUAACAUACGCGUGCCGUGAAGAAAGGAACUGCAUCAUAGACAAACGUCAGAGGAACAGAUGCCAGUACUGCAGGUAUCAGAAAUGUCUUGCGUGCGGGAUGAAGAGGGAGGCGGUUCAAGAGGAGAGGCAGAGAGGCGCCAGAGGUACGGAGGAUGCACAUCCGAGCAGCUCAGUGCAGGUACAGGAGUUAUCAAUCGAGCGGUUGCUGGAGAUGGAGUCACUGGUAGCUGACCCCAGCGAAGAGUUCCAGUUCCUCCGUGUGGGUCCUGACAGCAAUGUUCCGCCUAAGUUCCGCGCCCCUGUCUCCAGCCUUUGUCAAAUAGGCAACAAACAAAUAGCAGCGCUAGUGGUGUGGGCGCGCGACAUCCCGCACUUCAGUCAGCUGGAGCUGGAAGACCAGAUCCUGCUCAUCAAGGGCUCCUGGAACGAACUGCUGCUCUUCGCCAUCGCGUGGCGGUCUAUGGAGUACCUGACUGAAGAGCGAGACGGCGUGGACGGCACUGGCAACAGAACUACAUCGCCGCCACAACUCAUGUGCCUCAUGCCUGGUAUGACGCUGCACCGCAACUCAGCGCUGCAGGCGGGCGUGGGGCAGAUCUUCGACCGCGUGCUGUCGGAGCUGUCGCUGAAGAUGCGCAGUCUGCGCGUCGACCAGGCCGAGUACGUCGCGCUCAAGGCCAUCAUACUGCUCAACCCGGAUGUGAAGGGACUGAAAAACAGGCAAGAAGUGGAAGUUUUACGAGAAAAGAUGUUCCUGUGCCUGGACGAGUACUGCCGGCGGUCGCGCGGCUCGGAGGAGGGACGCUUCGCGGCGCUGCUGCUGCGUCUACCAGCACUGCGGUCCAUCUCACUCAAGAGCUUCGAGCAUCUGUUCUUCUUCCACCUCGUCGCCGACACCAGCAUCGCCGGAUACAUCCGUGACGCCCUCCGCAACCAUGCGCCGCCUAUAGACACCAACAUGAUGUAAUAUACCGUCUUGUAGGGCACUGAAUCUUGUGCAGUUGACAGCUGUCAGUUUUCAACGACAAUUGACGUUUGUACAGACUGACAGCGACUGUCAACUGCACCAAAAAUUGAUCAGACUGGCAUCUGAACGAACGAGAACGUUCGAGAAUACGCGAAGAUAUCGCGACCGAAUGCAGCUACGUAACGAACUAUUGUCUUAUGUUGUAGUUUGUAGAAAAACUCGUGGCAGUUAUUAGGGGGAUUUUAAGGAGAUGCAAAUGCAAUUCGAUGUGUUAAAAUAAAUAUCACAUCAUUAGUAAUGAACUGGCAAUAAUAAUUGCAAACGACAGGCUUAAAAAAAAUCCAUCUCACUGCGACGAGUUUUUUUAACAAACUUUAUCGUCUGUAUUCCAUAAACCGCUAUCAUUAAUCGGAGCUACCAUUUGCCGGUCAGAGGUUCGAGGUUAAAGUCCUGGCUAGGGCCACUAAUUAGGGUUUGUUAUACGGAAAGUUAGCUUUAGCAGACGUCGGGGGCGUGGCCGAGUGGUUACGAACAUUUUCGAGGUUUUAGAUUAUAAUCUCGAUACCUCAUAUUAUGUACGUGCGUGUAACCGCUGCCGUAGGAAUUUUGGUACGUUUCGACGGAUAAACCUUAUGAUUUCGUUAAAUUUAGAAAUCAGGGCUUUAUUUUUCGAGACAGCAGACUCGAUGUUAUGUUAGCACUAAAGAUCAAAUAGUUAACGUUGGUUUACGACCUUCAGCUAAUAAGUACCUGGGUUAUGUAUAGCCCUUAUUGUAAAGGCCCUUUAUGUUAUGUUCAAGUUUUGAGUACGAGCACAAGACCGUUGUAUGAAGUGCGGGCACGCGAAGUGUAUCGGAGUGGACACAGUAUCGCGAACCACACGACGUUAGGUAGUGUAAAUGGGGCCGCCUCUUUUAUUACGUAGAAUAUGAUUAACGUAAAUUAGUCAUUCAUUUAUUAGGGAAUUUUAAUCGUACAGGUAGGUGUCCAUAGUGAAUUAAUAUAAUGUUAGACUAAUUAAUGUGUAAUUUUAACAUUUACCAAAUCUCUCUUCAAAGCACGUACAUUAAUUAUUACGUAUAUUUAAUGGAUUGACUAUGUGUCCACUGAGCCAGUGAUAAAAAUCAUGUUGAUUCGUAAAAACGAAAAUAAAAGUAAAUAUACAAAAUUAUGCUUCAUAUAUUUCCCGUAUUAUACACAUGUUGGUGCUUUAACAUGCAUUAUUUACAUAUUAUGCAUAUCAAAUAUGCAUAGUAAUCCUUAAAUUUAAUGUUACUUGAUAAAUCCUUAUUUUCAUUACAAUUAGUAUAGAAAGUUAUAAAAACUGUAAAUAUAUCUUUGCAUGUACAAUGUAUUUUUAUUAUGUUUAGACAAGUAACUUAUAUUGCAUAUUAAUAUAUACCUCACCAGUGUCGGGUGGUGGGAAUAUACGGAUAGAAUGGCCUACACGCUACAUUAUAAAUAAUAACUUGUAUUUCUAUUGGCAGGCCACUUUAUUUUUGUACCUUGUGAGUGCCACGCAUUUUCCAAUUCGCUAACAAAAUUAACCAGUAUUAUAACAUUCACGAAAUCUUGACGAGGGAGACCUAUAUUUUAGACCCAUAUUCAAGGCACAGAUCUAAAACAUGUCGUUAAUCUGUGCCUGAAUAUGGUGCUAGAAUUCGGGCCAAUAAUAAACAUUCAGGUUGUAGAUAUAGAACGCGGAAUCUGAUCGACACAUUUCGAAGGGGGUAAUUAGACGAAAAAAAUAUUUUAAAAUUAAUGUUUCAUAAGUGUUGAGAAUAUUAUAGAAAACUUAUAUUGUGAUUAUAAUCGCUGGACGUAGUAGACAGCUCAAUUUACUAGAAAGUUCUUCAUCCGGUCUAUUUGAUCCAUUACGUAGAAGCCGUGAUUAGCAUGACGACUUUCAUGUCCACUAUAGUUUGUUGACGUUGAACAACCAGUAUUUCUGUUAUAUUGAAGAAUUAAUGUUGAGCAAUGAUAUUAUUAUAUGGAUGGGUUUGAAAUUUGAAUUAUAUGAUGGGAAAUGUUGCAGCGGUUGUGAGAUGAUUUAUAAUGAUGUUCACUAAUUAUCUGACUAAAUUUAAGUUAUAUUUUUUGUAUAGACAUACAUAGCUUUAAGAUUCAUAAAUGGUGAUUAAAAUUAUUAUCACAAUAAA